This 320-nucleotide ribosomal RNA is filed under the name uncultured bacterium. RNAcentral's name for it is "bacterial SSU rRNA". It matches the Rfam family "Bacterial small subunit ribosomal RNA", at positions 182 to 507 of the family's 1533-position model. The record is from RNAcentral.
CUAGGUUCGGGGUUCGGUAGGUAAAGUUUUUUCGGCCAGGGAUGUGCUCGCGGCCUAUCAGCUUGUUGGUGGGGUAAUGGCCUACCAAGGCUUCGACGGGUAGCCGGCCUGAGAGGGUGACCGGCCACACUGGGACUGAGACACGGCCCAGACUCCUACGGGAGGCAGCAGUGGGGAAUAUUGGACAAUGGGCGGAAGCCUGAUCCAGCAACGCCGCGUGAGGGAUGACGGCCUUCGGGUUGUAAACCUCUUUCAGUACCGACGAAGCGCCGAUGAUGGUGGUGACGGUAGGUACAGAAGAAGCACCGGCCAACUACGUG